Molecule: microRNA, 21 nt
Filed under: Prunus persica (peach)
Lineage: Eukaryota; Viridiplantae; Streptophyta; Magnoliopsida; Rosales; Rosaceae
Description: microRNA miRNA_447
Source: RNAcentral
GUGCUCUCUCUUGUUGUCAUG